GGUUGACGGCGGACGGGNGANUNACACGNGGGUNACCUACCUAUAAGACUGGAAUAACUCCGGGAAACCGGGGCUAAUGCCGGAUAACAUUUAGAACCGCAUGGUUCUAAAGUGAAAGAUGGUUUUGCUAUCACUUAUAGAUGGACCCGCGCCGUAUUAGCUAGUUGGUAAGGUAAUGGCUUACCAAGGCAACGAUACGUAGCCGACCUGAGAGGGUGAUCGGCCACACUGGAACUGAGACACGGUCCAGACUCCUACGGGAGGCAGCAGUAGGGAAUCUUCCGCAAUGGGCGAAAGCCUGACGGAGCAACGCCGCGUGAGUGAUGAAGGGUUUCGGCUCGUAAAACUCUGUUAUUAGGGAAGAACAAACGUGUAAGUAACUGUGCACGUCUUGACGGUACCUAAUCAGAAAGCCACGGCUAACUACGUGCCAGCAGCCGCGGUAAUACGUAGGUGGCAAGCGUUAUCCGGAAUUAUUGGGCGUAAAGCGCGCGUAGGCGGUUUCUUAAGUCUGAUGUGAAAGCCCACGGCUCAACCGUGGAGGGUCAUUGGAAACUGGGAGACUUGAGUGCAGAAGAGGAAAGUGGAAUUCCAUGUGUAGCGGUGAAAUGCGCAGAGAUAUGGGGGAACACCAGUGGCGAAGGCGACUUUCUGGUCUGUAACUGACGCUGAUGUGCGAAAGCGUGGGGAUCAAACAGGAUUAGAUACCCUGGUAGUCCACGCCGUAAACGAUGAGUGCUAAGUGUUAGGGGGUUUCCGCCCCUUAGUGCUGCAGCUAACGCAUUAAGCACUCCGCCUGGGGAGUACGACCGCAAGGUUGAAACUCAAAGGAAUUGACUGGGACCCGCACAA
RNAcentral lists this ribosomal RNA (852 nucleotides) under uncultured bacterium. RNAcentral's name for it is "bacterial SSU rRNA". It matches the Rfam family "Bacterial small subunit ribosomal RNA", at positions 90 to 928 of the family's 1533-position model. The record is from RNAcentral.